This 253-nucleotide ribosomal RNA is filed under the name uncultured bacterium. RNAcentral describes it as "partial 16S ribosomal RNA". It matches the Rfam family "Bacterial small subunit ribosomal RNA", at positions 524 to 776 of the family's 1533-position model. The record is from RNAcentral.
UACGAAGGGUGCAAGCGUUCCUCGGAAUUACUGGGCGUAAAGCGUGCGUAGGUGGUUCGUUAAGUCUGUCGUGAAAGCCCCGGGCUCAACCUGGGAAUGGCGAUGGAUACUGGCGGGCUAGAGUGCGGUAGAGGGUGGUGGAAUUCCCGGUGUAGCAGUGAAAUGCGUAGAGAUCGGGAGGAACAUCAGUUGCGAAGGCGGCCACCUGGACCAGCACUGACACUGAGGCACGAAAGCGUGGGGAGCAAACAGG